Molecule: ribosomal RNA, 495 nt
Filed under: Myrrophis bennettii (Bennett's water snake)
Lineage: Eukaryota; Metazoa; Chordata; Lepidosauria; Squamata; Homalopsidae
Description: partial 12S ribosomal RNA
Rfam family: Microsporidia small subunit ribosomal RNA
Source: RNAcentral
GCCCUGCCGUAACACAGCAAUUAAAUAACUAAUUGCUCGCCAAAUAACUACGAGUAAAAACUUAAAAUUUAAAAGACUUGACGGUACUUCACAACAGCCUAGAGGAGCCUGUCCAAUAACCGAUAAUCCACGAUUAACCCCACCCGUUUUUGCCUAACAGUCUAUAUACCGCCGUCGCCAGCUUACCUUGCAAAAGAAACAAAGCAAGCCAAACAGAACUGCACUAACACGACAGGUCGAGGUGUAACUUAUAAACGGGUCAAAGAUGGGCUACAUUUUCUUAUCAGAAGAAACGAAACAAGCAUGAAAGAGCAACCUGAAGGUGGAUUUAGCAGUAAGAUUAAAAAUAGAAUAUUUACCUGAAACUAAUGCAAUGAAGUGCGUACACACCGCCCGUCAUCCCUGUAGAAUGACACAAACAUACAUAAUAUUAUCACCUCUUUAGAACAGGGCAAGUCGUAACAUGGUAAGCGUACUGGAAAGUGUGCUUAGAAA